AGUGAACGCUGGCGGUAGGCCUAACACAUGCAAGUCGAACGGCAGCACAGUAAGAGCUUGCUCUUACGGGUGGCGAGUGGCGGACGGGCGAGGAAUACAUCGGAAUCUACUUUUUCGUGGGUGAUAACGUAGGGAAACUUACGCUAAUACCGCAUACGACCUACGGGUGAAAGCAGGGGAUCUUCGGACCUUGCGCGAUUGAAUGAGCCGAUGUCGGAUUAGCUAGUUGGCGGGGUAAAGGCCCACCAAGGCGACGAUCCGUAGCUGGUCUGAGAGGAUGAUCAGCCACACUGGAACUGAGACACGGUCCAGACUCCUACGGGAGGCAGCAGUAGGGAAUAUUGGACAAUGGGCGCAAGCCUGAUCCAGCCAUACCGCGUGGGUGAAGAAGGCCUUCGGGUUGUAAAGCCCUGUUGUUGGGAAAGAAAAGCAGCAGGUUAAUACCGCGCUGUUCUGACGGUACCCUAAGAAUAAGCACCGGCUAACUUCGUG
This 492-nucleotide ribosomal RNA is filed under the name uncultured bacterium. Its description in RNAcentral is "partial 16S ribosomal RNA". It matches the Rfam family "Bacterial small subunit ribosomal RNA", at positions 29 to 507 of the family's 1533-position model. The record is from RNAcentral.